This 2971-nucleotide long non-coding RNA is filed under the name Equus caballus (horse). RNAcentral's name for it is "lncRNA (ENSECAG00000045933.1)". Lineage: Eukaryota; Metazoa; Chordata; Mammalia; Perissodactyla; Equidae. The record is from RNAcentral.
GUUUAUUAGGGAGCGCCCCCAUGGGCAACACCUGUAGGUUGUGAAGGCACUAUGAUUGGGCAGAAGGAGGAGUUGGACUACGAGGCAUUUGCAACAAAAGCCUCAGUUGACCCCACUGGGAACUCUGGAGCAGGACAAAUCUUCGCAACUCCGUCUCUUGAGGUUUUUGGCUGCUUGCCUUCAAACUGCAAACUGGAAUACUUCAUCCUUUAAAAGCUUAAUAACCCGAAAACCCACCAGGAACCUAGAAUACCCGUAGUUCUCAGCCUAAAAGCUUGAGGAUGGAUAGAACAGAAAUCUAAUGUGCUUGACCUUCUCACCUCCUGCUUCUGGUCCGUGCCUCCCAUUACACCCACUCAAAGCCUCAGUGAGGCCCAAACCAUGGAAGACUUCUGCUGACAGAUGUCUCCAGAAUAGCUACUGUUCAUCUCACAGGCAAUUGAGCCCUCUAGGUCAGAGGUCCUCAAAGUGUGACUACAGUCCCCAUAAUGAGACUACCAGCAUCAGUAUCACCACCACCUGGGAACUUAUUAGAACUGAAAUUCUUGGGUCCCACUCCAGACCUCCUUAAUCAGAAACUCGGGGGGUAGAAUCCAGCAAUCUGUGUUUGAACAAGCCCUCCAGGUGAUCUGGAUGCUUGCUAAAGUUUGAGAACCACUGGUCUGGGUAAUUGAACCAACGGCAUUUGGCUGUAAUCCAUGGAGAAAUUUAUAGCACUAGGGCAAUCACUAACCUCAGUCUUGGGAAUUACGGGAGUUGGUAAACUCAUUUCAAAGGAACAAUAUUCACCUUUGAAGGUACUUGGAUGGCUGGCUGUGUGCAUUUGGAAAUAUACAGUGUUCUCCUCCCAUGGGGCUCAAGGAAGCUAAAGAAAAUCAGAGGAUUCUAAAUGCCAUUGUCCUCAUCCUAUCGCCUCCCUGCUUGCUCAGCUCCAACCCCACCUGUCUUUCUCACGUUGAACUAGCUUUAAGGAGAAGAGACACAAUUGCCAGCAGGUGAAAGGUAUCUGGGGAUCACUCGAGUUUCAACUGAUCGAGGCUGGGCUCAGCUUACCUUGGCUCCUGGUAGUGAGUUGGGUCCAGAUCUUCUCUACAUGUCUUCAUCACCUUUGAAUAAGCAAAUACUCAAGGCAUGAUCUUCUCAUAGUGGAAAGGCAAGAGCAAAAGAGAAGAGGAGUAAAAGAAACAUGUGAUGUCUGUUAAGACUCUGGCUAAGAACUGUAAAAUGUCAUUUUCACCAACAUUCCAAUGCCCCAAAUCAGUCAUAUGGUCAAGCCAUUUUUUUUUUUUUCACUGAGGAAGAUUUUCCCUGAAAUAACAUCUGUUGCCAAUCUUCCUCUGUUUUGUAUGUGGGCGACCUCCACAGCAUGGCCACUGAUGAGUGGUGUAGGUCUGUGGCUGGGAACUGAACCCAGGCCACCAAAGUGGACCACGCUGAAUUUAACCACUAGGCCACUGGCACUGGUCCAAGGCUAACAUUUUCGAGAUGGGGAAGCGCACUCCUCCCUUGAAGGUUGAAAAGAAGAGUGAAUAUUUGCUCAUUAAUAACCUAAUUUUUCAUAGUCUGCAAAUUACUAUUUUCAAUACUGCUCUAUCAGCAUCCUACUACUCAAAUUUUGAUGAGAGAGUUCCCUUGCUUUGCUGCUCUUGUCAAACAAAUGAAUAAAUAUAUUCAAUACAGUAUUGUUUUUGUUUUGUGAGGAAGAUUUUCCCUGAGCUAACAUCUGUUACCAAUCCUCUUCUACAUUUUUUUUUUUUUUUUUAGGAAGAUUAGCCUGGAGCUAACAUGUGCUGCCAAUCCUCCUCUUUUUGCUAAGGAAGACUGGCCCUGAGCUAACAUCUGUGCCCAUCUUCCUCCAGUGUAUAUGUGGGAAGCCUGCCACAGCAUGGCUUGCCAGGUGGUGCCAUGUCCGUGCACCUGGGAUCCGAACUGGUGAACCCCGUGCUGCCGAGAAGUAGAAUGUGCACACUUAACCACUGCACCACUGGGCUGGACCUCUUUUUUUCUUUUUGUUUGAGGAAGAUUAGCCCUGAGCUAACAUCUGUGCCAAUCUUCCUCUGCUUUCUAUGUGGGAUGCCUCCCCAGCAUGGUUUAUGAGUGGAGUAGGUCUGCACCUGGGAUCAGAACUCGCAAACCUUGGGCCACCAAAGCAGAGCAUGUAGAACUUUAACCACUUGGUCACAGGGCCAGCCCCACAAUAUAGUUUUAAUUCAUUGAUAAUGCAAGUAAUCACUUUGCUCAUUUCAUUUGCGAUGCAUCAAUAUAUAUGUGACCACCAAAAUGUCACAGUUAUCAGUGACCCAGGAAAGCAAAACUGAGUCAUGUGUAUAGUAAACACAGAACUAGUGUUUUGGAAUCACAGAACACUAAAUAUCUUUUAAUGAAGAGCUUAUAUCAAUGAAUACUAGAAAGGAGGAAACUGGAGAACAGAGUUUAAGCCAUGAUCCAAGUUCCCCAGCUAAUUAAUGGCAUAGCCAUGACCCAACUUAUUAUCCUUCCCACUGUACUUCCAUGGUAUUUAUGAAUCUAGCAACUUUUCAUUUAGUUUGCACACAUGCAUGUGCACACACGAACGAUGUUAGAAGGAAAUAAAGGCAGAACUGCUUCUGCAUUGAAGUGACAUUUAUCGGGAUAAUAUACCUUCUAUGACUAACCUUUGGAUUCUGCAUCAGUUUGACUUAAAUGGGAACAUAGAUGGAAGAGUUUGGGAAAUGAAAAUUGAAAUAUCAUCUGUAUGACAGAUAAUACUGAUUGGGGAAUGUAGCUUAGGUCUGAGGGACAAAGGAGCUUUCUAAAGCUUUCUCCUUCCCUAAUUUGGAUGAUUAGCCCCAAUCUAGCUUUGGGACAGCCUACAUGAAGAAAGAUGUGAACUCUGCAGGGCAGAUUCUGAAUCACUCUCCUUCAAUGGUCCAGGGAAGAGAGGGAAGAAAAGAGACUGAAUCUUCAGUGCUCACUGCCUUACAAGAAACUA